Molecule: long non-coding RNA, 1208 nt
Organism: Drosophila sulfurigaster albostrigata
Lineage: Eukaryota; Metazoa; Arthropoda; Insecta; Diptera; Drosophilidae
Exons: 4
Source: RefSeq, a predicted model, not a curated record
AUCGAUAUAAAUAUACAUCGAUAGUUCUAUCAAGACGGGAGGGAGUUUGAAAUUAAUUUUAGUUGUCAUAAUAAAUUCCAUUGGCACCGAAAAUAUGAAAGAACGUGGCGUCAGAGCGAGAAAGCAUGACGCGCGUAUUUUAUACAUUUUGACUGGAUGUUUGCAACCCGACGGCAAAUUUUCGAACUCGCCAAGAAGAAGAGCCAUCAGAAAUGCGUAGGUGAGAAAGAGCCGAGAAAUGUAAUGCAAUGUAACGGUAACGGCAACGGUAGCGCAUUAUUGAUUUUGCUAUUAACGUUAAACGCGGUUGCUAUGCUCUCUUGUCUCCUUUUUGAGCCCUGGAACUGUGGAACGACGACUUGGCCUCCGACUACACACUUAUUAUUUUUGUUUUGCCUUAACUUACUUUGGGCUCAUAAAUCAAAUAUUUACAUUCCGAAAUUGACGUCUUGAACGCGCGGUCGCAAUUUGCAACGUUUCUCCUGGGCUUCUUUUCUUCAUCGGUGUGAAUUAAACGGGCAGCUUUCACCUUGGCUCCCUUGAUUUCUGCGUGUUUCAGUGCAUGUGACUGUGUUAGUGUGUGUGUGUGCUGCGAUUAACCCAAGAAAUACUAAGAAAACUGGCAAACAGACACCGAUAUCGCCAGCAGCAAUUGCUUGGCUUGAUUAGUCUGGGAUUCAUUUGAAAGACGCUUCGUAAAAAGCUUUGAAGUUUCAGCAACACUCAAAAUAUUAAACAAAUAUUAAGUCAAGACAUCAAAACGGAUUUAAAUACUUAACUGCAAUUAAAAGGAGCAAACAUCAUAACAAUAUUUGUCUAACUUUGAAGAUGAACCGCAAUAUUGAGAUGCAACAAAUUUGCAGUGUCGACUGCGCUUAUCACCUACAACAAUGAGACGCAUAACGAGAGCGGGAGUCCUUGCCGAAAGGACAAUGGCAGUACUCAACCCUCAAGUGUUUUGGCGGCGCAUUCGAGCGUAAAUUGCAGCGUAAUCUCUUCCGGAUAUGAUUACGCUCUUAAGUGAUCUGAUUCAGACAGCUGGACAGGACAACCGAGAACAUGCCUGACAUUGUUGCUGUCAGCUCUCAUCGCUCAACGCGGCUAAAUGCUGUGACCUAUCAGCUUUGUAUCUGUAUCUUUAGCUCGGCCAGAGUGGCUGUUUCUACGACAACGACAACGACAGCGGGUGCGGGGACUCCUAAGCAAGU